CCCAAGGCUGCAGCUGUUGCUUCCCUAAAACUGAGAAGUGAAACUUGGCCGUGUGGGGCCGGAGGGGUGGCGUGGGAGAAGCUGCCAUUGCUCUUGCUCUUGCUCUGACAUUGUCACAAGGAAGUGGCCACCUCCCGUCUGCUUUUCCUGCCUGCUCAAUUUUUGCUCUAUCAGUGGGCCUCUCUACCAGGGGGAAUCGCCAGCAGCCCUGGGGAAGGAAAGAUGUGGAGGAAACUUGCUUUUCAGGAGGUAAGACGCCCAUGCUUGCUGUUUGACACUGGAGGACUUAGUGGGGGGAGAGUGUCACCCUUCUUUGGGCUGAAAUAGGUUUCAAAUGCAUAACAAGGCACUCAAAGGGCACAGGCGGGUUUAAAACACCGAGCCCCGGAAGAAUGAUAUACAGCAUGCGUAGGAACGACAGUUUGUGGCUUUCCUGCUAGGCGCCUAGGAGGAAACAAGUGAUCUCUCGGACAGUCGCUGUUAGACACGCCGAGGCGCUGAGACGCUAUAACUCUCGCAGGGCGGGUCUAAAAAUAUGCAGCGGCCAUAUUCAGUUUCCCCUGCAGAAUCACAGAAAAACGAGACCUCUUGUGUUUCAUGGGGUCCCUGCUUCCAGGGGACGACUGAGAUGCUUAAAACAAAGCACCCGCUAACGUGCUUUGCCGGCCUGGCGCCUGCGUGAGGCAGAGAGGCGCACAGUGACUGACACAGAGCGCUGGAGGAAUGGGGGAUAAAAACUAUUUCUUCAAAAUAACACAGCGACGAAGAUUGCCCUCUUUUAAACGUGUUUGAGGGCGUUCCUUGGCAUAGGACGUACAAAUGCGGACACGUGUAACGGAUCGAUUUCUUGCCAUCCCACUCGCGGUGCCGUCUGGAUUGUUUGAAAGGCUUUUUUUUCACUGGGGGGCCCUGCAGGAAUUUUGCGGAAUGUCCAGUGUCCGGAUUGAUACGCUUUGCGCAGGAGGAGGCAGGGUCAAGGGGCGGGCCUGCUUAGGGCAUGUGGGCGCGAGACUCAGAAUUCAUCAUGGCGGGACACAGCUCGGCUGCCACGAGGUGUAAAAACCAAACCCAUCCCUUUGCCUUUGCAAGCAUCGCCUUUAAAGUCGUCGUCUUACUCCGGCGCGCUGGGCAAGCGGUACCGGACACCCGCCCCAGCCAAUGUCAACAGGACAUCCCUCUGUCUGUGCCCGAGGGUGGCGACGCGCAACAGCCCCUUAACCUCACGGAGCGCUUUGCCCAGCUGUCCUGGUACGAUGCCUUGGCUGGGACAUGGGUGCCGAUAGCCAUCAUCCGUCCAGGGAAAUCAAACCCACUCAACAGCUCCUUCGCCGGGCGCAUCUCCAUGUCCAACAGAUGGCUCACCGUGACGAACGCCAGCAAAGCCAUUGCAGGGGUGUAUAAGAUUGAAUCUGAGAUGAACAAAAGCAAGUGUCUGGUUUUCAUCCAUCUGAUUGUAACAGGUAAGUGCCGUGGGUCACAAUUUCAGGGUAACUGCACCAUGGAUUUCCCCUUGGCCUCUGGAGGGCCCGGAUGUCAGGUUUCCAGCUUCCCAGCCGCCCCCUCUCACAGGUGGAGGCCUGCGUCUGUCUCCCUCCAUCCUGGGGGUUUGGGUUUGAACAUCACUGUGAGUUUCCCAGCACAUCUGAGCGUGGUCCAGCACCCGUAG
Chrysemys picta bellii (western painted turtle) is the source of this 1666-nucleotide long non-coding RNA. NCBI's taxonomy places the organism in Eukaryota, Metazoa, Chordata, Testudines, Emydidae. The record is from Ensembl.